RNAcentral lists this transfer RNA (66 nucleotides) under Nesophrosyne sp. 15 GMB-2012. RNAcentral describes it as "tRNA-Pro". Lineage: Eukaryota; Metazoa; Arthropoda; Insecta; Hemiptera; Cicadellidae. The record is from RNAcentral.
CAACGAGUAGUUUAUAUGAGAAUAUUAAUUUUGGGUAUUAAAGGUGUGGAAUUUUCAUCUUGUUGA